UUUUCAAAUGCAAUCAAGGCUUCCUAUAUACGGGCGGAAAGGCGGCUUCCUCCGCUGAGAAAGCUGAAGGUCCUUACCUGCGGCGUACGGACUGCUCUGGUGGUCCCUGAGGGUGCCCAGGCUGCAGGAUCCCGGCGUGAGGGAAGGGCAGCCGGACGUGGCCCCAAAAGUGGUCCUUAUCGGGUUAUACUGGAAGCCACUGGCCUGGCUGCAGGAACUGAAGUCAGCAUAGGCUGAAGCCAGGCUCGAGGUGUCCAUCCCAGCCAUACAGGACUCGUAGGCAGAGGAAUUGAGGGUUCUCACAACCAAUUGAAAGAGAAUAAAACAUUCUCUUGCUUCAUAACCAAAGUGCUGCUCACACUUACAGCAACCUUUGGAAGGGGAAUCCUGGCUAUUGAUGUCCCUGGAAAGAGAGUGGUAGAAGAAAAGAAAUUGAAGACAUGGAAGAAAGAUGAAAACGCUGGCUACUAAAUACCUAUGUGUGGUUACUGAGUGUGGUAUACUUGGACACCGAGCUCCCCCACCCAUCAGAUGUCACAAAGAGUCCUCUUACUCUUGGAUAAUUUCAAAUCAAACUGACCUCCCCAGAUAUUGAGAAGCAAAAUAAUCAACAACAACAAAACCUGCCUUGUAAAUAUGAUUUACAUUGAUUAUGUGGGGAUGUUCUGAAGGGAGAAGAAAGGAGCUGUCACCAACUCAAAGCAACAUGAGAGCAAGAAUCAUGCUAAUUUUGCCGUCUGCCUCUCCUAUGUUCUUGGUGCCAAGUCUGUAGUUGAGGUUCAUUUACCUGAAUGAGUGACUAAAGCUUUAUAACUUGAACACUUUGAAUACAUAGAUCUAGCAUAAAUAAGCCUAUUAAUGGCAACUUUGACCUGUCAAGCAAUAACCAAAUGAUUUGUGUGCCUGC
This is a long non-coding RNA of Homo sapiens (human), 907 nucleotides long. Ensembl annotates it as PHOX2B antisense RNA 1. Its record names the gene PHOX2B-AS1. The record is from Ensembl. Lineage: Eukaryota; Metazoa; Chordata; Mammalia; Primates; Hominidae.